UUUGGCUGCCAUAAUGUGUCCCUGUGGUGUUUUGUACAGCUUAAAGUUUAACAUCCGAGCAGAAGGCCCUAGAGACUUUGCAGAUAUGCUUCUGUCGUGGAAACAUAUGCCCAAUAUAUCAGUCUAUGACUUUGCACGAGGUCUUGUAAACCACACCAAUGUGAGAGUGCCAGAAAAUCCACCAUUCCAGCCAAAUGAAGGCCGUCUUGCUCCUCCAACCCCUGAGAACAUACAGGCCGCCAAAGACCGAACACUGAAGAUCCACCUUUUGUGGCUUUUGGAGCCAAACACUGAAAACCUUGAAGAUGAUUGUCAUCCGGUUACCAAAUCCUCUCAACAUUAUGUCUUAUGUGACAAGCUACAUGAAGGAAACAGCAAGGAUGAGAAGGACAUUCUCAGGAGGAUUGAACUUGUACCGGAGCUUGCUGGUCAGCUCAACAGCCAAGUAGCUGAACAGUUCUUUGCAAAGAUGCGGAAGAACACUUAUUUCAUUAACAAUAUGUUGCCUUCAGCUCACAUUUUCUUGGUGCGAAACAUUGUUCAUCACCACAAUGAAAAAAAAGACAGACAAACCAUUGAGAAGAUGAAAAGAAAUGUGAGGAUUGCCAGUAUCACUCUGGACACACUUGGGAAAGCAGUAGCAGCUCCACAGACUUCACUGGGCACUCAGACUUUAUUGGAACCCACAAGAAAUGUUGCUGGACCAAUCACCGAAAGGGAGACUUUCCUGUGUGACAUACAGCCACAGAGUUCAUGCUGGGAUUUGAAACCUAGUUCACUACAAAAAGAUAUGGUAGGUUUGAUUUCACUCUGUACAUACACAAAGCUGGUACUCUUAAUUUACGUGUGUGUGUGUGUGUGUGUGUGUGUGUGUGUGUGUGUGUGUGUGUGUAGCUGAAAUAUGUCUUGGACCCCAAAAGAAAUCCAGAUGAAACAAUUAUACGAACCCAGUUUACCAAAGUACAGCAAGUUACCUUGCAACGCAGAGACUUUUUGACUCUGGGCUUGGCACGGGAGUUGGAGGUCACAAUAGCAAAUUGCUGUUUUCAAAUAAUCACCCAAAUAGCACAGUCACAGCAAAAGGAUGUUUAUGCAGUGGAUUGCUAUGUUGUACCAACAUGGCUACCUCCACAUUGUCCGGAUACCUCGUCUUUCCCCAAUGAUUUGGCAAACAAAGAUUUUGUCCUCAUACCUAUUUGGAAACCAGGACACUACAUGCUCUGUGUUUUGAAGCUGAGCGAGAGACACAUUCUUUUCCUAGACUCCUUAUUCCAUAAACAUCCGGAAGCCUCAGUUGGCUUUGGCGAUCAACGAUACAUUCAGAUUUGCAGGUUUCAAUAGCAUGAAGUUCAGAUGUUCAAAACAUUAUUUAGGAUGUAAAGUUGUUAGUUAUUUUAGCUUUUGGUCUGUUCCUGACCACAUGAAGUUGUUCAAUAAGCAUGCUCCUGUGGUAUGUUCU
Etheostoma spectabile (orangethroat darter) is the source of this 1459-nucleotide long non-coding RNA. RefSeq lists it as uncharacterized. The record is from RefSeq and is a predicted model, not a curated record. NCBI's taxonomy places the organism in Eukaryota, Metazoa, Chordata, Actinopteri, Perciformes, Percidae. The transcript is spliced from 7 exons.